AGAGUUUGAUCCUGGCUCAGAUUGAACGCUGGCGGCAUGCUUUACACAUGCAAGUCGAACGGCAGCACGGGCUUCGGCCUGGUGGCGAGUGGCGAACGGGUGAGUAAUGCGUCGGAACGCGCCGAGUAGUGGGGGAUAACGCAGCGAAAGCUGUGCUAAUACCGCAUACGUACUGAGGUAGAAAGUGGGGGACCUUCGGGCCUCACGCUAUUCGAGCGGCCGACGUCUGAUUAGCUAGUUGGUGGGGUAAAGGCUCACCAAGGCGACGAUCAGUAGCGGGUCUGAGAGGAUGAUCCGCCACACUGGGACUGAGACACGGCCCAGACUCCUACGGGAGGCAGCAGUGGGGAAUUUUGGACAAUGGGCGCAAGCCUGAUCCAGCCAUGCCACGUGUCUGAAGAAGGCCUU
Molecule: ribosomal RNA, 408 nt
Filed under: uncultured bacterium
Lineage: Bacteria
Description: bacterial SSU rRNA
Rfam family: Bacterial small subunit ribosomal RNA
Source: RNAcentral